UUUCAAUAGCUUGCUAAUGAAAUUCUUAGUGGCGGACGGGUUAGUAACACGUGAGAAUCCUACCCUUGAGUGGGGAAUAGCCUUUCGAAAGGAAGAUUAAUGCCCCAUAGUCUCUACGGAGUAAAGAUGCCUUCGGGUGUCGCUUAAGGAUGGGCUCGCGGCCUAUCAGCUAGUUGGUGAGGUAAGAGCUCACCAAGGCAACGACGGGUAGCUGGUCUGAGAGGACGAUCAGCAACACUGGAACUGAGACACGGUCCAGACACCUACGGGUGGCAGCAGUCGAGAAUCAUUCACAAUGGACGAAAGUCUGAUGGUGCAACGCCGCGUGGAGGAUGACGGCCCUAGGGUUGUAAACUCCUGUCAUCAGGGAGUAAGACUUAUUCGUUAAUAGCGUGUAAGUUUGAUAGUACCUGAAGAGGAAGGGACGGCUAACUUCGUGCCAGCAGCCGCGGUAAUACGAAGGUCCCAAGCGUUGUUCGGAAUAACUGGGCGUAAAGCGUGUGUAGGCCGCGCGGAAAGUCGGAUGUGAAAGCCCAAGGCUCAACCUUGGAACUGCAUCCGAUACUCCCGUGCU
This 574-nucleotide ribosomal RNA is filed under the name uncultured Roseibacillus sp. RNAcentral describes it as "bacterial SSU rRNA". It matches the Rfam family "Bacterial small subunit ribosomal RNA", at positions 70 to 642 of the family's 1533-position model. Lineage: Bacteria; Pseudomonadati; Verrucomicrobiota; Verrucomicrobiia; Verrucomicrobiales; Verrucomicrobiaceae. The record is from RNAcentral.